This 253-nucleotide ribosomal RNA is filed under the name uncultured bacterium. RNAcentral describes it as "partial 16S ribosomal RNA". It matches the Rfam family "Bacterial small subunit ribosomal RNA", at positions 524 to 776 of the family's 1533-position model. The record is from RNAcentral.
GCCGGAGGAUGCAAGUGUUAUCCGGAAUCACUGGGCGUAAAGCGUCUGAAGGUGGUCAAAUAAGUCAACUGUUAAAUCUUGAGGCUCAACUUCAAAAUCGCAGUCGAAACUAUUAGACUAGAGUAUAGUAGGGGUAAAGGGAAUUUCCAGUGGAGCGGUGAAAUGCGUAGAGAAUGGAAAGAACACCGAUGGCGAAGGCACUUUACUGGGCUAUUACUAACACUCAGAGACGAAAGCUAGGGUAGCGAAUGGG